Molecule: non-coding RNA, 108 nt
Organism: Pelobates cultripes (western spadefoot toad)
Lineage: Eukaryota; Metazoa; Chordata; Amphibia; Anura; Pelobatidae
Source: the annotation of a GenBank genome assembly
AUAACAAUACAGGACUCUUUCCAGGCCCUGUAAUUGGAAUGAGUCCACUUUAAAUCCUUUAACGAGGAUCUAUUGGGGGGCAAGUCUGGUGCAGAGCGACUGACCCGU